This 543-nucleotide ribosomal RNA is filed under the name uncultured Bacteroidota bacterium. RNAcentral's name for it is "bacterial SSU rRNA". It matches the Rfam family "Bacterial small subunit ribosomal RNA", at positions 8 to 544 of the family's 1533-position model. Lineage: Bacteria; Pseudomonadati; Bacteroidota. The record is from RNAcentral.
AGAGUUUGGAUCCUGGCUCAGGAUGAACGCUAGCGGCAGGCUUAAUACAUGCAAGUCGAGGGGCAGCGGGGGUAGCGAUACCUGCCGGCGACCGGCAAACGGGUGCGGAACACGUACACAACCUUCCUUUAAGUGGGGGAUAGCCCAGAGAAAUUUGGAUUAAUACUCCGUAACAUUAUUAAGUGGCAUCAUUUGAUAAUUAAAGCUCCGGCGCUUGAAGAUGGGUGUGCGUCUGAUUAGGUAGUUGGUGAGGGUAACGGCCCACCAAGCCUACGACCAGUAACUGGUGUGAGAGCACGACCAGUCACACGGGCACUGAGACACGGGCCCGACUCCUACGGGAGGCNGCAGUAAGGAAUAUUGGUCAAUGGACGCAAGUCUGAACCAGCCAUGCCGCGUGGAGGAUGAAGGUCCUCUGGAUUGUAAACUUCUUUUAUCUGGGAAGAAAUGCAUUUUUUCCAAAGUGUUUGACGGUACCAGAUGAAUAAGCACCGGCUAACUCCGUGCCAGCAGCCGCGGUAAUACGGAGGGUGCAAGCGUUAU